This 247-nucleotide ribosomal RNA is filed under the name uncultured bacterium. RNAcentral's name for it is "partial 16S ribosomal RNA". It matches the Rfam family "Bacterial small subunit ribosomal RNA", at positions 27 to 257 of the family's 1533-position model. The record is from RNAcentral.
GAAUCAACGCUGGCGGCGUGCCUCAGACAUGCAAGUCGAACGCGAAAGUCCCCUUCGGGGGACAAGUAGAGUGGCGCACGGGUGAGUAACACGUAGGUAAUCUACCUUUGGAUGGGGAAUAACAACCGGAAACGGUUGCUAAUACCGCAUAAUGCAGCGGCACCUAAUGGUGACAGUUGUUAAAGCGGGGGAUCGAAAGACCUCGCGUCUAAAGAGGAGCCUGCGGCGGAUUAGCUAGUUGGUAAGG